CCUGAGCCCGGGGCUCGACGCCGUGCGCCGGGACGUGACCGCCCUCGAGCGCGAGCACGUGCGCGCGCACCUGCGCGCCCGCCGAAGGCUGCUGGAGAUCGAGAGCCUGCUGGACGAAAUGACCAGCGAGGUGGAGGCCGAGCGCAGCCCGGGCGCCGAGGCGGAGGAGCGGGUGAUGAAGCUGUGCGAGAAGGUGGGGAAAAAGGCCGCGGAGGCCGCGCGGAUGGGGAGGCGCCUCGUGGAGCUCCACCAGCAAAUCGCCAGCUACGAGUGUUGCUGAAGGACGCGGGAGCGGGUUAUCCGCUGAUGGAGUCCGUUCAGCCGGUAAGGAGGACUGACUGCUGGGAGAGGCUGAAACCGAGAGAGUCAUUCUUUUUUCUGUCCCUUGUUUUUCUGUCUGCGUUUUCACCAUGGUAAACGCUAAAUCUCCAGUACCUUCCCGGUAGAUGAUUUCAGUAUUAUACUGCCGUAUGUGGAUUAUGAUUACCAGGUGCAUUCAGUUUGGAAAAGACAGCUUAUCAUUAAAUGCUCUCACGUAAAGAAAUAGGCCCGAGAUUGUAAGCUGCUGUAUGGUCAUAUUUGUUACGGUGAUUAUUGUAUUUUUUUAAGUUUGCAAGUAUAUUCUUGUGCUUUGCUUUUUUUUUUACGUUUCCUGGAAUUUGGGGUUCCAUGAGAGGGACUUGAGGUCAGAGGUCUGCAAGAGAGAAGACACUACUUGGCUGCAGCUGCUUAAGCAAGAACCCCAACCCCAGGCGAGGGUGUGGAUGCUUCUACUUUGGAUAAGCUUGAGAAGGCCCAGAGAGCGGUUGGGCAUGUACGAAUCUGGGGACUGUGCAGUUCCUCAGCUCAAGGAAGAGAGCUGAGUCUUGGGGGGAGGGGGAGGUUGGUUUUUCUCAGCGAUGUAAUUAACUGGUAACGUCAAGUAACCUGUCUGGUGAGUAAUCUAGGCUAGGGGAUGAGUUCUAGGUACUACGUGUAUUUCCUGCCUUUGGGGUAAACGUUUUGAUAUAAUACAAUCAUGCAUUUUAGGGGCUUCUCUGCCACAAAUGCCCAUGACCUCUGGAGGGGUCAAGGAGGAAAGCGUGGCGCUGGCUACAGUGGGCCCCAGACUGAUAGCAGGAGACGUCUUCCAGGCUCACGUGAUGUCCAGCCUAGGUUCUCAGAGCAGACUUCACAGGGAUUGAGAUCAGACCUCUAGCUUGUUACGAUAACUUCAUUGCCUGGAAAAGCAAAUGGUGAAAACCAGUUUUUAGAAUCUUUGUACAAAUGAUCAAAGUCACUUGGCCAGGAAAAGGUGAGAUAAAUAAAUUUCUUUCAAAGUGAAA
Long non-coding RNA from Pteropus alecto (black flying fox), 1325 nucleotides. RefSeq lists it as uncharacterized. Lineage: Eukaryota; Metazoa; Chordata; Mammalia; Chiroptera; Pteropodidae. The transcript has 2 exons. The record is from RefSeq and is a predicted model, not a curated record.